AGCAGCCGCGGUAAUUCCAGCUCCAAUAGGCGUAUAUUAAAGUUGUUGCAGUUAAAAAGCUCGUAGUUGAAUUUCGGGGAUCAGAUUGUCGGUCGUGCCUCGGUACGCACUGGCAUUAUUGGUUCCUACCUUCUGAAGAACCGCGAUGUCAUUAAUUUGGUGUCGUGGGGAAUCAGGACUGUUACUUUAGAAAAAAUUAGAGUGUUUAAAGCAGGCGCACGCUUGAAUACAUUAGCAUGGAAUAAUGAAAUAGGACGUUUGAUUCUAUUUUGUUGGUUUCUAGGAUCGACGUAAUGAUUAAUAGGGAUAGUUGGGGCAUUAGUAUUCAAUUGUCAGAGGUGAAAUUCUUGGAUUUAUUGAAGACUAACUACUGCGAAAGCAUUUGCCAAGGAUGUUUUCAUUAUCAAGAACGAAAGUUAGGGGAUCGAAGACGAUCAGAUACCGUCGUAGUCUUAACCAUAAACUAUGCCGACUAGGGAUCGGAUGAUGUUAAUUUAUAAUGACUCA
Molecule: ribosomal RNA, 507 nt
Filed under: uncultured Glomus
Lineage: Eukaryota; Fungi; Glomeromycota; Glomeromycetes; Glomerales; Glomeraceae
Description: SSU rRNA
Rfam family: Eukaryotic small subunit ribosomal RNA
Source: RNAcentral